CUGCCCUCAAGCACGGCUUGUGUGUUGGGCCUCCGUCCUCCUCCCCGGGGGACGGGCCCGAAAGGCAGCGGCGGCACCGCGUCCGGUCCUCGAGCGUAUGGGGCUUGGUUACCCGCUCUUGUAGGCCCGGCCGGCGCUUGCCGACACAUCAAACUUUUUUCCA
Molecule: unclassified non-coding RNA, 163 nt
Filed under: uncultured Penicillium
Lineage: Eukaryota; Fungi; Ascomycota; Eurotiomycetes; Eurotiales; Aspergillaceae
Description: sequence contains ITS2
Source: RNAcentral